UGAGUAAGCCAGACGGUCGCGUGUAUAGUGCUGAAAAGCCGUACAUGAGGAAAGUCCGGGCUCCAUAGGGCAGGGUGCCGGGUAACUCCCGGUGAAGGUGACUUCAAGGAAAGUGCAACAGAGAUAUACCGCCAUUCGUAAGAGUGGCAAGGGUGGAAAGGUGAGGUAAGAGCUCACCAGCGGCAUGGCGACUUGCCGGCUAUGUAAACCCCAUCUGGAGCAACACCGCAGAGGGACAUAUUGGUUGCCCGCCAGUCCCGGGUAGGUGGCUUGAACCAUUCAGAAAUGCAUGGUCUAGAUAGAUGAUCGUCAAAUACAGAACCCGGCUUACAGACUUACUCGAUAC
Molecule: RNase P RNA, 346 nt
Filed under: Bacillota bacterium
Lineage: Bacteria; Bacillati; Bacillota
Description: RNase P RNA component class A
Rfam family: Bacterial RNase P class A
About the family: Ribonuclease P (RNase P) is a ubiquitous endoribonuclease, found in archaea, bacteria and eukarya as well as chloroplasts and mitochondria. Its best characterised activity is the generation of mature 5'-ends of tRNAs by cleaving the 5'-leader elements of precursor-tRNAs. Cellular RNase Ps are ribonucleoproteins.
Source: RNAcentral